CGUCGCUGUUAGCACCCAGCACGAGUUCUCUCCGGAGGGGUGCAGAACUAACCCACGGACGGAGGAGAGAAGAUACGAUCCCAAGAAAGCCCAAGUGAAGAGUCUUAAGCAACUUGGAUGAAAUUUUAUUUUAGAUCUGAACUUCCUGGACUUGGAUGUUAGUGAUGAUGGCUCAGGACAUUUCAAAGCCGCAGUUUAUUUAAUUGGUUUUAAAUGUCAUUUUAAGUGAGUACUUUAGAGAGUUCAAGCAGACAAUAAAAUAUAUGCUUCUUGUUAAAAUUGAAUAAAAGACGAUUUCAUUUGUAUAA
Echinops telfairi (small Madagascar hedgehog) is the source of this 308-nucleotide long non-coding RNA. RefSeq lists it as uncharacterized. NCBI's taxonomy places the organism in Eukaryota, Metazoa, Chordata, Mammalia, Afrosoricida, Tenrecidae. The transcript has 3 exons. The record is from RefSeq and is a predicted model, not a curated record.